Molecule: ribosomal RNA, 253 nt
Filed under: uncultured bacterium
Lineage: Bacteria
Description: partial 16S ribosomal RNA
Rfam family: Bacterial small subunit ribosomal RNA
Source: RNAcentral
UACGGAGGGGGCUAGCGUUGUUCGGAAUUACUGGGCGUAAAGCGCGCGUAGGCGGCUUUGUAAGUUAGAGGUGAAAGCCCGGAGCUCAACUCCGGAACUGCCUUUAAGACUGCAUCGCUUGAAUCCAGGAGAGGUGAGUGGAAUUCCGAGUGUAGAGGUGAAAUUCGUAGAUAUUCGGAAGAACACCAGUGGCGAAGGCGGCUCACCGGACUGGUAUUGACGCUGAGGUGCGAAAGCGUGGGGAGCAAACAGG